This 466-nucleotide ribosomal RNA is filed under the name uncultured bacterium. RNAcentral describes it as "partial 16S ribosomal RNA". It matches the Rfam family "Bacterial small subunit ribosomal RNA", at positions 28 to 507 of the family's 1533-position model. The record is from RNAcentral.
GAUGAACGCUGGCGGCGUGCUUAACACAUGCAAGUCGAACGAUGAAGCCCAGCUUGCUGGGUGGAUUAGUGGCGAACGGGUGAGUAACACGUGAGUAACCUGCCCUUAACUCUGGGAUAAGCCUGGGAAACUGGGUCUAAUACCGGAGAGGAGCGUCCACCGCAUGGUGGGUGUGGGAGAGAUUUAUCGGUUUUGGAUGGACUCGCGGCCUAUCAGCUUGUUGGUGAGGUAAUGGCUCACCAAGGCGACGACGGGUAGCCGGCCUGAGAGGGUGACCGGCCACACUGGGACUGAGACACGGCCCAGACUCCUACGGGAGGCAGCAGUGGGGAAUAUUGCACAAUGGGCGCAAGCCUGAUGCAGCGACGCCGCGUGAGGGAUGACGGCCUUCGGGUUGUAAACCUCUUUCAGUAGGGAAGAAGCGAAAGUGACGGUACCUGCAGAAGAAGCACCGGCUAACUACGUG